UACGUAGGUGGCAAGCGUUGUCCGGAAUUAUUGGGCGUAAAGCGCGCGCAGGUGGUUCCUUAAGUCUGAUGUGAAAGCCCACGGCUCAACCGUGGAGGGUCAUUGGAAACUGGGGAACUUGAGUGCAGAAGAGGAAAGUGGAAUUCCAAGUGUAGCGGUGAAAUGCGUAGAGAUUUGGAGGAACACCAGUGGCGAAGGCGACUUUCUGGUCUGUAACUGACACUGAGGCGCGAAAGCGUGGGGAGCGAACAGG
Molecule: ribosomal RNA, 253 nt
Filed under: uncultured bacterium
Lineage: Bacteria
Description: partial 16S ribosomal RNA
Rfam family: Bacterial small subunit ribosomal RNA
Source: RNAcentral